Molecule: ribosomal RNA, 439 nt
Filed under: uncultured bacterium
Lineage: Bacteria
Description: partial 16S ribosomal RNA
Rfam family: Bacterial small subunit ribosomal RNA
Source: RNAcentral
CGGGGUGCUGCUCCAGUGGGGAAUAUUGCACAAUGGACGAAAGUCUGAUGCAGCAACGCCGCGUGGAGGAUGACACAUUUCGGUGCGUAAACUCCUUUUAUAGGUCAAGAUAAUGACGGUAGCCUAUGAAUAAGCGCCGGCUAACUCCGUGCUAGCAGCCGCGGUAAUACGGAGGGCGCAAGCGUUACUCGGAAUCACUGGGCGUAAAGAGCGUGUAGGCGGGUUAAUAAGUCAGAAGUGAAAUCCAAUGGCUCAACCAUUGAACUGCUUUUGAAACUGUUAACCUAGAGUAUGGGAGAGGUAGAUGGAAUUUCUGGUGUAGGGGUAAAAUCCGUAGAGAUCAGAAGGAAUACCGAUUGCGAAGGCGAUCUACUGGAACAUUACUGACGCUGAGACGCGAAAGCGUGGGGAGCAAACAGGAUUAGAUACCCCUGUAGUC